UGGAUCGAUGAUGACUUCCUUAUAUACAUUCCUUGGAAAGCUGAACAAAAUGAGUGAAAACUCUAUACCGUCAUCCUCGUCGAACUGAGGUCCA
RNAcentral lists this small nucleolar RNA (94 nucleotides) under Homo sapiens (human). RNAcentral's name for it is "small nucleolar RNA, C/D box 116-18 (SNORD116-18)". It matches the Rfam family "Small nucleolar RNA SNORD116". Rfam says of the family: HBII-85 is a member of the C/D class of snoRNAs, which contain the C (UGAUGA) and D (CUGA) box motifs. Lineage: Eukaryota; Metazoa; Chordata; Mammalia; Primates; Hominidae. The record is from RNAcentral.